UACGUCACCUGUCGCCUGAGGUUGAAGCUGCGAGAUCGGAGAAGUUUUGAUUUGUUUUGAUUCUUUCUUGUGGUGUUGUCCUGAACAGAGCCGUUUGAUGAGCUGGGACGGGACGGCACGCAUGUGUGCGGUCCAUAUGGAGAGAAUCCAGCAUCACUGCCCACAGCAUCAACCAAUCACAUUUUGGUUCUGGAUAUUCGGGUUCCUCUCUGUGUACUGCGUUCUCUUAUCUCAGAUCCGCAGAGCUGAAUGUACUACCCUCCUUCCUCCAUCGUAGAUUAAAGAAAUAUCUUUGACAUUUAUUGAGGCUCUCGUCUGACGUCCGAGGGCUCUCCGUGAGAACUGAUGUCCUCCAGAAUUCAAUUUCCUCCGCGGUGAUCUGCUUUUAUCUGCGUGUAGCUGUUCCCAGGCCUGUGUUAAUGAAAGCUGUCAGUCGAGCGGGACACGUCGUGCAGGUGAUUGAGGGUGACCAGACGACUCACCUGUACACACACACACACACACACUAUGGUGUCGCCAGGUGUGUUUGUGACUACACAGAAGAUAUUUAUUUUGGGUUAAAACAACAGUAGGGUCAAUUUAGUUUUUUUCAACUAUUUCUUUCAUUUAAACCCCUUUCUGUAGUAUGUAGUGUUGUAGUGUGUGCUUUUAUCUGUUUAGGGACCUGUGAAGGGUCAGCAUCAGGACAGAUGUGGAUAGGAUUACACUUUAAUGAAAAGCCAAGAUGUUGUGAAUCAAACAGAAAGCCGUACGGUACGGUUCAGUUUGUUCUGGUUUAAGGGCACAUCUCCAGAUGAAGUGAUUAUGAUACUGAACAGAAAACAGAUCUUCAGUCUUAAAGUCUGAGAUGGAGAUCAAGAUUUGGGGUCAUGAACUCAUGAACUCACAUUCCUUCACAUGAGGACGUCUUGAUCAUUAUCAGAAGAAUUACCUUUUUCCUCAUACGAACCCUUAACUCUAAAACCUUUAUCACAAAUAAAUGUGCCAAAGAGAAAUUCAGAGAUAAUCUUUUACAUCACUGAAGUACUAUGGUCUGUCAAAUCAU
Molecule: long non-coding RNA, 1045 nt
Organism: Triplophysa dalaica
Lineage: Eukaryota; Metazoa; Chordata; Actinopteri; Cypriniformes; Nemacheilidae
Exons: 3
Source: RefSeq, a predicted model, not a curated record